Molecule: ribosomal RNA, 385 nt
Filed under: uncultured Aulacoseira
Lineage: Eukaryota; Bacillariophyta; Melosirophyceae; Melosirales; Aulacoseiraceae
Description: SSU rRNA
Rfam family: Eukaryotic small subunit ribosomal RNA
Source: RNAcentral
CCAGCUCCAAUAGCGUAUAUUAAAGUUGUUGCAGUUAAAAAGCUCGUAGUUGAAUUUCUGGCGGAGUCGGCCUGUCCUUCACUUGGUGUUGGCACUUGGUUGGUUCUCCGCCCUCCUUGGCCGGAGCCAGCGUGGCAUUUGGUUGUCGGGCUGGGGACGGUCAUCGUUUACUGUGAAGAAAUUAGAGUGUUCAAAGCAGGCUUAGGCCUUGGAUACAUUAGCAUGGAAUAAUGAAAUAGGGUUUCGGCACUAUUUUGUUGGUUUGCGCACCGAAACAAUGAUUAAUAGGGACAGUUGGGGGUAUUCGUAUUCAAUUGUCAGAGGUGAAAUUCUUGGAUUUCUGGAAGACGAACGACUGCGAAAGCAUUUACCAAGGAUGUUUUCG